UGCAACAUGUUGCGAAUUUGGUAAUUCAGUCUAAAAAAUCGCUGUCCCGUAUCCUUACUACUUGGUGGCGCCACCUAUCGGCGAUAAUGUGAACUAACUUCGAUCUCAAUCCUGUUUCUCAAUCAUGUAAAAUCCUCUCAAAUCGAUCCUUCGCUCAUUUAUAUUCUCUCUCCUCCCUCUUACUGUCAAUGAACCUGUUUUUACGAUUGGUCCCGUGUUGCGAUUCAAACAACCCUCAAACAGGUAGGUCAUCCCUUUGUAAUGAAUCUAAUGUGAUAGUUUAGAGGUAUUUUUUAAGUGUUUCCUGAAAACGGUUUCGAUGCCCUUGAACCUUUCUACUUUCUCUAUAAUUUAUAUUCCUCCUUUGUGUACCUAACACUGUCCCAUAGCAAAGUGCCUAUAUAAUAACUACUUUCCUAUAAAAAACCAAUCUACCAGUUUAACAUUUAGGAUGAGGAUAACCAGGAACACGGCGUUUGCUAUGCCUGCGAGAAACAAAUUUCUGAUGAUGAUCGAGAAAAAUUCUUUGAUCAGUUUACAGGUCAAUAUGUAGGUCCUAUUCAUAAGGUGUGUAAACAGACAGAUUAAAUGAAUUUGACUUCAAAAUGAAAUUCUUACCAGGAAAGGAGAACCAUGUAGCCGAUGCGCUAUCAAGAGUAAAGAUUAACGAAAACCUACUUGGGGAAACCAUUAAUAGUGAUUUUGCAAUGGUCCAUAGCGCGCAAGAAGAUAAUGCAAAUUACAUUCCACUUACAGAGCGACCAAUCAAUUACUAUAAUAGGCAAAUAGAACUGAUUAAAGGUAAUGAGGAUAAGGUAGAAACAUCCCACAAUUUCCACAAGAUACUGAUAAAAAUCACUUAUACUGAAAUGACAGAGUCAUUAGCAAAAGAUAUAAUAAAGGAAUAUGUGUAAACCAAAAAGAGUGCAUUAUAUUUCCAUAGUGAAAUAGACUUCCCACUGUUCCAAAGGGCAUUCCUAAAAAUAAUCAGUCCCAAUCACUUGAUGUGAAAAUGUGAAAAUCGAAAUCACUACCAGUAAAAACGGAGUUUCUGAUGAAGAACGGCUACAUAAAACGAUCAAUGACAAAUUAAGAAUUAUUUCAAGCGAGGAUAACAUAGAGAACAAGCUCACAAAAUUCGAGUUAAUUCUAUACACUUAUAAUCAUAAAUCGGUUCAUAAUACUACAAAAAGAUCCCCAGCUGAUAUCUUCCUGUACGCCGGACUACCAGAUUAUAACACCCAACUGAAUAAGGUUAGGAAGAUCAAUCAUUUAAAUAACGAUAGAAUCGACUUUGAAGUAGACACACGCUACAAGAAUGCACCCCUAGUUAAAACAAAAACAACCAAUCCGUUCAAAAUAACAGGGGAAAUUCGGCAGAGUACCCGAAGAGAGUACUGGGAAUCUGGAGCUACAACAUGAUUAAGAUUAUAAUCUUACUAAUGUUCACCGUAAUACAGUCUACCGGAUAGAAUAUAGAGAUAGAUCCCAUCAACUCAAGGAAUAAAUAUCUCAUUUUCAAAACAGAUACCAUUAACAUACCCAUUAAUUAUGAAUAUCAUUAUUUAACAAUUAAUAUAACAAGAACAGAUGAAACAUAUCAGAGUUUACUAGACCAGGCAACCCAAUUUAAUAACGUAAUCCAAGUUCAAUAUUUAGUCGAGACAUUGCAACGUAAAUUCAACGGCAUAAAAAUAGCCAAAAGAAACAAAAGAGGCCUUUAAAUGCAGUAGGCACAAUUUAUAAAUAUCUAUUUGGAAAGUUAGAUCAA
Drosophila pseudoobscura is the source of this 1771-nucleotide long non-coding RNA. RefSeq lists it as uncharacterized. NCBI's taxonomy places the organism in Eukaryota, Metazoa, Arthropoda, Insecta, Diptera, Drosophilidae. The record is from RefSeq and is a predicted model, not a curated record. The transcript is spliced from 2 exons.